CCUACGGGUGGCAGCAGUGGGGAAUAUUGCACAAUGGGCGAAACCCUGAUGCAGCGACGCCGCGUGAGUGAAGAAGUACUUCGGUAUGUAAAGCUCUAUCAGCAGGGAAGAAAAUGACGGUACCUGAUUAAGAAGCCCCGGCCAACUACGUGCCAGCAGCCGCGGUAAUACGUAGGGGGCACGCGUUAUCCGGAUUUACUGGGUGUAAAGUGAUCGUUGACGGGAGCACAAGUCUGGGGUGAAAUGCCGGGGCUUAACCCCGGAACUGCUUUGGAUACUGUGCAGCUAGAGUGCAGGAGAGGUAAGUGGAAUUCCUGGUGUAGCGGUGAAAUGCGUAGAUAUUAGGAAGAACACCAGUGGCGAAGGCAGCUUACUGGACUGUAACUGACGUUGAGGCUCGAAAGCGUGGGGAGCAAACAGGAUUAGAUACCCGAGUAGUC
RNAcentral lists this ribosomal RNA (440 nucleotides) under uncultured bacterium. Its description in RNAcentral is "partial 16S ribosomal RNA". It matches the Rfam family "Bacterial small subunit ribosomal RNA", at positions 338 to 795 of the family's 1533-position model. The record is from RNAcentral.